UACGGAGGGUGCGAGCGUUGUCCGGAUUUAUUGGGUUUAAAGUGUGCGUAGGUGGCUUGGUAAGUCAGUGGUGAAAUGCGGCCGCUCAACGGUCGAACUGCCAUUGAUACUGCCGGGCUUGAGACAGAUGGAGGCCGCCGGAACGGAUGGUGUAGCGGUGAAAUGCAUAGAUAUCAUCCAGAACACCGAUUGCGAAGGCAGGUGGCUACGCCUGUUCUGACACUGAGGCACGAAAGCAUGGGGAGCAAACAGG
Molecule: ribosomal RNA, 253 nt
Filed under: uncultured bacterium
Lineage: Bacteria
Description: partial 16S ribosomal RNA
Rfam family: Bacterial small subunit ribosomal RNA
Source: RNAcentral